AAAUGAAUUGACGGGGGCCCGCACAAGCAGUGGAGUAUGUGGUUUAAUUCGAAGCAACGCGAAGAACCUUACCAGGGCUUGACAUGCAGGUGAAUAAUGUAGAGAUACAUUAGGCCUUCGGGACACCUGUGCAGGUGGUGCAUGGUUGUCGUCAGCUCGUGUCGUGAGAUGUUGGGUUAAGUCCCGCAACGAGCGCAACCCCUGUUGUUAGUUGCCAUCAUUAAGUUGGGCACUCUAACGAGACUGCCGGUGACAAAUCGGAGGAAGGUGGGGACGACGUCAAAUCAUCAUGCCCCUUAUGUCCUGGGCUACACACGUACUACAAUGGCUAUAACAGCAGGGAGCUAAGGAGUAAUCCGGAGCAAAUCCUCAAAAAUAGUCCCAGUUCGAAUUGUGGGCUGAAACUCGCCCACAUGAAGUCGGAAUUGCUAGUAAUGGCAGGUCAGCAUACUGCCGUGAAUACGUUCCCGGGCCUUGUACACACCGCCCGU
RNAcentral lists this ribosomal RNA (491 nucleotides) under uncultured bacterium. Its description in RNAcentral is "bacterial SSU rRNA". It matches the Rfam family "Bacterial small subunit ribosomal RNA", at positions 903 to 1397 of the family's 1533-position model. The record is from RNAcentral.